UUUCUCCCAAGGUUUUUUCAAUUUCUCUAGCUUCUAACCCAAAUCCUCUCUCCAAGUGCUUGCUUCUUUGUGUUGUUGACAUUUUUUUCGCUUUCUGAUGUGUUGCAUGCAAGAAGAGCCUCUUCACGGCCUCCACACAAUCGUCGGCGUCGGUCGUCGCUCUCCACACAAUCGUCGGUCGUCGCUCUCCAGUCCAUCGGCUCUCCGCGCCGUCAGCAACUUGGUUGUCCUCAAUCCUCUGUCUUCCUCAGCCCUCAGUCUUCCUCAGUUCAGUCCUCAGUCCUCAUCAGCAACUGUAAAAGGUAAGUAAUUUUAUUUUUAUAAAGAGUAUGUUCUGAAAGGAGAGUGUUUAUGAUAUGCAAACACUAUCUGUAGACACAAAUGAUAUUUGUUCAUUGUGAAAUGCAUCCAGGCAUGCUAACUUCUACAUCGAGCCAUUGAAUUGGGGAUUUUUGUGUCUGGUUCUUUGUUUU
RNAcentral lists this long non-coding RNA (473 nucleotides) under Manihot esculenta (cassava). RNAcentral describes it as "long non-coding RNA (MESC_LNC012185)". Lineage: Eukaryota; Viridiplantae; Streptophyta; Magnoliopsida; Malpighiales; Euphorbiaceae. The record is from RNAcentral.